UACGUAGGGGGCGAGCGUUGUCCGGAAUCAUUGGGCGUAAAGCGCGUGUAGGCGGCUCGGUAAGUCCGGUGUGAAACCUUGGGGCUCAACCCCAAGCCUGCACUGGAUACUGUCGAGCUCGAGUCCGGGAGGGGAGAGCGGAAUUCCUAGUGUAGCGGUGAAAUGCGCAGAUAUCAGGAGGAACACCGGUGGCGAAGGCGGCCCUCUGGACGGAUACUGACGCUGAGACGCGAAAGCGUGGGGAGCAAACAGG
This 253-nucleotide ribosomal RNA is filed under the name uncultured bacterium. RNAcentral's name for it is "partial 16S ribosomal RNA". It matches the Rfam family "Bacterial small subunit ribosomal RNA", at positions 524 to 776 of the family's 1533-position model. The record is from RNAcentral.